RNAcentral lists this ribosomal RNA (305 nucleotides) under uncultured bacterium. RNAcentral's name for it is "bacterial SSU rRNA". It matches the Rfam family "Bacterial small subunit ribosomal RNA", at positions 335 to 657 of the family's 1533-position model. The record is from RNAcentral.
AAUCCUACGGGGGGCAGCAGUGGGGAAUAUUGGGCAAUGGGGGAAACCCUGACCCAGCGACGCCGCGUGAGGGAAGAAGGUUUUCGGAUUGUAAACCUCUGUCCUUGGUGACGAUAAUGACGGUAGCCAAGGAGGAAGCCACGGCUAACUACGUGCCAGCAGCCGCGGUAAUACGUAGGUGGCGAGCGUUGUCCGGAAUUACUGGGUGUAAAGGGAGCGUAGACGGCGAGGUAAGCCUGAAGUGGAAGCCCGCGGCCCAACCGCGGAACUGCUUUGGGAACUGUUUUGCUGGAGUAUGGGCGGGG